UCUUAUUGCACGUGAAAAUGUGCAAGUGUAGCCACGACGUAAUAUCAGUGUUGAUAUCAUGCAUUGCCUUCUAUGGGAACGUCAAACUUCCCAACAUGGACGAUGAUUUUUGGCACGUCACGUAGCCUGGCAUCUAAAUUGCGCUGGUGUAUCCACCCAUUCAUAUCUAUGAGUUUUGCAACGGAAGCAAACUUUUGUUUCUACGUGUUGCUAACGGAGACGUCUACGGCUAUCGACUAGCUAGUACCUUCAUGUUUAGACUUAUGGGGGAAACGCUGAGAAAUGGAAAACUGCCGAGUGUCAAGAUGAUGCGCCUACCUCCACAAAAGCAGAUGACGAGUUUGUCUCGCUGACACAGGGGACUCAACUACUGCAACAACAGGACGACAUUUUCGCAGCACAGCAACAGCAGGAAAAUGUCAAAAGAAGCAGAAAGAGAAGAUGGAAGUUUGGAUUGACCUGUCGACAGUUUCCCAUUAAGCUUGCUUUUGCAUGUACAAUCCACCCGGUGCGAAGAAUGUUGACCUCAGAAGCUGCAGUGUCUUUGAUCAUGACAUGGGAUGACAGAGGCUUCAUCGGACAAUGUGAUGCCCCUUCUUCACGUCAUGCCGACGGUAGAUCCAGCCAACCACCUGGUCAUCAUCCAUCAUAACAUGGAACUUGAAAACGGGUGCCAAAACAUGUUCAUCAUGGAACACUGACUCCGAAACCAGGGUGGCAACCCACAGGACUUCUCUACAUUCUUUUCUCCACAUGCUCCAUUCGUGGUAGACAGGAUACCCAUCCCAGACAAAGAACAGAUGGCCCUUUGACAAUGAGAAUCUGCCCCAAUGAAGGGAUAACUUGCUGUUAAUUUUAGAAGGUCCAUGCCACCAUGUUCUCAUCACAUCGUCUUUUUUUCUGUUCGUUUCAGACCAUUUUCUACUUAUUGAAAGAAAAAAGUUCUUCGUUCUGGAGAAACAGCAGUUCGUCCCAGAAUACAGGAAACGGUACGUUCUUCACCCGUUUCCUGUGGCUCCACAUGCUCCCUUCGAGGUAGACGGGAUACCCAUCCCAGACAAAGAACGGAUAGCCCAUUAACUAUUGGAUGCUGGUACGGGACCUCAGUGAGACCUGCCUUGGUUUGCCCGAUGAACCUAUGACUCGCUGACAAGUUUAGAAAGCCCAUGGCACCGUGUUCUCCCGACGAUCAAAUCAAGUCUGUUUUCUCUUUUCUUCAGACCGCUUUCUAUUAAUUGAAAGGAAAAGAUUCUUCGUUCUGGAGAAACAGCGCUUCAUCCCCAAAUAGAGGAAACGGACUUGGAAAAUGGGUGCCAAAACACUUUCACCAGGGAACACAUUGACUCCGAAACCAGGGUGGCAACCAGCGGGACUUUUCUUCAUUCAUCUAACGGGGACACAUCCAAGACAAAAAACGGAUGCCUCUGUGACUAUUGGAAGCUGAGCCACCCUGGUAGGAAAACUUGAUGAGAGCUGCAAUUGCUUGCCCAAUGAAGGGAUGACUUUCUUGCAAGUUUAGACUGUCCAUGGCACCCUGUUCACUCGAGGAUCACAUCAGGGUCACGGGCGUGCUGGAGCCUAUCCCAGCUGUCAUCGGGCAGGAGGCGGGGUACACCCUGAACUGGUUGCCAGAUGAGUUUCGGAAGGAAGAAACCGGAGGAAACCGGAGUGCCCGGAGAAAACCCACGCAGGCACGGGGAGAACAUGCAAACUCCACACAGAAAGAGAGCCAAGGAAAGGACUUUGUGCUGGAGACGGCGAAAGCUGGAAAGACAAAGAGCAGCUGAAUGGUCCUGUGUCUCCACGUUUACCAAGCGGAUUGGAACAAUAUGAUGAAAAGUCUAUUUCAGUGGGGGACAAAGUGGACAUAUCUAGCAGUGGAGGAUAUCAAGGAUGCUGAGGUCGGAGUCGUGUGGCUCGUCGGAAGAUGGUGGGGAACUUGAGGUAAGUGGUAUUAAGCAGGUCACCUGCCCUUGAACAGCAAUAAAUGGUAAAGGCUAUGCAGUGCAUAUAUUUAGGAGAUUUCAGUAUAAGGAUGGUUAAAUUUUACUUGGAGUCAGAAAUCUCCCUAGUCAGUGGGGUGGGCAGAGUCACUAGAUAGGAUUGUGGGAGAAAUUAUGGCUAGAAAUAUUUUUGCCAUUAUGGGAGUAUGAGGUCAUGCAGUCCUCAGAUAGAAUUCUACUUCAAAAUUUAUAUUAAACGUCAGUAGGGGUUGAAAGAGAGAGGUCAGAAAGGAGCAGCCCUCCUACUUGAUUUCACCUACCAUUGGUUUAUGAGUCUGUUAGUAGUUUGUUAGAAAAUGCCUCACUAAGCCUCCUACGCUGCACAUGUAAAUAUCGGUGGACCAAGACCAUCUACUGUACCUCUAUUGCUGGCUGACUAGGAGAACUAAAAUACAGAAGUUGUCGAGUUGUGUAGGUGUGGUAUUUGGGCCAUAUGGGGUCAACCCUCCUGACUUUGUGCUGGGGUAAUAACAAGUGGGAUACAAAGGGGGGCAUUGAUCGAUUAAUUAAUCUGGUCUGACGUGGAAGAGGGUGACUUGAUUUGAGGAUUUGGCAGAUGUAAUCUCGGAAAUUAGGCUAAAAGCAAUGAAGGAUACCUGUAGACUGGUAGAGGAAUCUGGGGAAAAUUAUGCUCAGUGACGUGGGUGUAGGGACCGACAUACUAGCAAGCCGUUUCUUGUACACUCGGAUAGUAAUAAUAAGAAAUCAGUCGGUACCAGAGCUAUUUUUAAAUCGUCAAUCUAGCAGGAAUAUCGCGGUACUGAGGAGGAAGACCACGUGUAGUGAUUGUACUAGUUAGUUCAAACCUAUCAACUUUCAAAUACUAGUUACGUGAUGGAGGCGGUUUUUGCCCAAACAGGAACGAGGGAAGUGGGAUAUUAAUUGCGUUAAAAAAGCCUCGGGAGGCUGCACAAGUUUCAUAGCUCGCGAAUUACAAAUUAAGAUCCGCGGAUUGGGUAAGCACACAACUGCUUCCAAAUGGGCUGGUUGGGAAUUACGAGUCAACCAAUAUAUAUUCUGUGUUCAGUUUUGUCUGUGGGAUGUGUGAGUGGAAAAUGGACUUCCAGGUCAAUGUUAUUGUCUGAGAAGUCUCGCUUCUCAUGUCGUAUUAAAUGUUUAUGGUUUGUGUUAAAUGUUUACGUUUUGAGUUAAAUGUUUGUGUUGUGUUGAGUAAAAGCAGAAAUGAAGCACCAUUGGGUCAAAUUCACUCAUGUGGAGAAGGCUUUUAUGCACUUUGUGGGGUCAUCUGAGACUAACAUGUUUAUGAUGACCGAGGACAUUGUGACUGACAAGUGGGUAAGGUCUCCACAGACAGGUCUCCAAAGGUCAGUUAGUCAACUGACCUUUGUGACGGUGUACAUAAAGACACGGGGAAGACUCUGCUUUUUGACUCUGAUUUGUGGACAUAACUUUAUUUUUCAGGACGCCCAGGAGGAUGCAGUGUGACAGUGUUGAUUUAUUGCAGGUUAUGGGAAUGCUGACUUAACCCCGAUUCUUAUGUGAUUUAUGGUCUAUUGACAUUGCCGCUGUUGGGAAACGUGUUAACAAUGAAUGAUCAGUGUUAACAUGUGAUUCGUUAUUUAUGGAAAUAAUAUCAAUGUUUGGUGACCAUUGCCGACUUAGCCCUUCUCUGGAAUAUGAAGGCAGGAAUUCUUUUGCAGAGGUGUGAUUAAUUUAUUAAAGGACUUGUUUGCAGGACUCGUCAGCUGGGCCUCUGCAACGGGGAAGAUGACCUGUUUAAAUGUGGAUGGUAUUUUGUAUUCCUGCUGUUGUGUAUUUGCUGGGCGAGUAGCCUCUAGGAACUUUGCUGUACUGACUCCCACCAGUAACAUCUACUGCCGGCGGACCGGAGACAGCUGUUGAAGAAGGGUGCCCGGGUAAAGUGGACACAUUGAUGCGUAAUGUAUCCGAACGGGAGGUUAGUAUUCCAAUUCUGAACUUUGAUUCAAUACUAUACUGAGGUUGGAGGUUGCCUGUUUAUGCAGUUUCAUCACAGGAAGUGGGAUGGAGGAGAGCUUAGGAAGACACUGUGCAUGCAUGACUGGUGGGAUACAGAGUAGGACCAAUAUCGGAAUGUCUAAUACAAUACUAUCGAAGGAGUUCACCUGAUAUGGUAGUAAGUACCUUAGCGUGACACUGACGGGGAGUAUGAUAUGAGUGAGGGGUAAUGAAUAAUACGAAACAGCUAUUGACACCCCUGCAGAGGUUAUGAUUCAAAAAGUGACAGAUAUAUGGAAGUUGGCAUGAACAAUAAAUACAGAGUAAUUAUGGUAUAAUGAGCUAUUAGAGUCUGGGGGCUAAUAUGGAUUUGAUGACGCAGUCGGGUCCGAACUAGGGUCUCCACGUGGUACGGAACUAAAAGGGGAAUGAUGUGAAAAUUAACGCAAAUUUAAGUUACAGGGCCACUGAGGGAUAAGAUAUUGCAAGCCGCUGCGGGAGGUUAGUUGAGCGUGCCCAGCACGCCCGCGACCCUCGUGAGGAGAAGCGGCUCAGAAGAUGGAUGGAUGGACGUGGUAAUGGAAGUUAGGUCAUUUUCUUGGCUCAGAUUCCUUCAUGCAAGGGGGUUACAAAACAAAAUAAUAUCCAGCGGUGGUACGCGUAGGAGUCAUGUCCGCAGGGGUCUGGAGGCAUAAAGCGAUGCAAGGGGGGUAUUAUCACUUACGGAUUAAUCGACUCCCACAACCGUGUCUGCCUCAGAUGUGUAGAACUAACUGCCCCUCAUAUGUUGUACUGUUUAGAUAUCCAUUUGAAAAUGGGUUGGAUUAGGUUUGAUUUUGUUGCAAAAUACUGGCAGGUGUUCUUGUUUUUCCAGGAGUGGCCGGGAGCUGCGGGGGGUCCCGCUUGUAUAAACCUGGAUUCUGGAACUAAUUCAUGGACGGUGAUGGUGGACAGCGGGCCCUGAGCGGAAGGGUUCUGAGUUUCUUCAUCAAUGACACGAGCUGUAGACCAUAUGGAGGGAGACCACCUUUAAAAUUUGAAUUCAUUCGUGUGUAUUUUGAUAUGUUUGCUUCCAAAGUUCUUUGUUGUGUUUUACACUGUUUUUGUUCAUCGAUGUCGAUGUUUGUAUUAUUCUGUUGUGUAUGUUUGCCGUCAGGGUCCCUUUGGGUGAUUUGAUGUACGGGGCUCUGAAGGACGCUUGAUCUGGCUCUCGCUCUUUUCCUCGUCUCGUUUGAGAAAGGUUUUUCGACCGAGAGCCGCGAAACCUUGGCGCUCCCACGAGGCUGCGCAUACAAAUUGAUAAAUUUGGGAUUGGCUCCUUUUUGAUAACUGGGAGGAGAUUUGGUAUUCGGCUGUUUGGUACGCACGUGUGACCUCGGGGGGCGACGAGGAGACGCAGGGAGUGAUUCGGCCUUAUUAGAAUAAAUUGUUUUUCCUAGUAAAUGGUUAACCUUAAGUAGAUGCCUCUUAAAUAUUGUCAAAUGUACAUAAGUAAAGAAUUCAAUUCAAGUAUUUUCAACGCAAGAUAAAUAAAAGUGCGAUUGGCUGGCGACCA
This is a long non-coding RNA of Phycodurus eques (leafy seadragon), 5496 nucleotides long. RefSeq lists it as uncharacterized. The transcript is spliced from 11 exons. The record is from RefSeq and is a predicted model, not a curated record. NCBI's taxonomy places the organism in Eukaryota, Metazoa, Chordata, Actinopteri, Syngnathiformes, Syngnathidae.